Molecule: long non-coding RNA, 220 nt
Filed under: Lathyrus oleraceus (garden pea)
Lineage: Eukaryota; Viridiplantae; Streptophyta; Magnoliopsida; Fabales; Fabaceae
Description: Pisum sativum (pea) long non-coding RNA (PSAT_LNC004118)
Source: RNAcentral
AGAGCUAUACACGACUGAUAUUAUAACUAGCUUGAGAGAUUAAUGAGGGAUUUAUGCUAAACAUUUUCCCUACUAAUCCCCCAUGUUUUCAAAAACCAUCCUCACCCCUAAAGUGAAUGGGUUACCCAGAAAUUUUAAUCCACGCCACCCAUCUCCCCAUAGACAAAUUAUCUUCCCACCAAACCAUUUUUUCAAACACCAACGACCAUGAUCCUUUCUC